AUACAGAGGGUGCAAGCGUUAAUCGGAAUUACUGGGCGUAAAGCGCGCGUAGGCGGUUUAAUUAGUCGGAUGUGAAAGCCCCGGGCUCAACCUGGGAACUGCAUUCGAUACUGUUAAGCUAGAGUAUGGUAGAGGGAAGUGGAAUUCCAGGUGUAGCGGUGAAAUGCGUAGAUAUCUGGAGGAACAUCAGUGGCGAAGGCGACUUCCUGGACCAAUACUGACGCUGAGGUGCGAAAGCGUGGGGAGCAAACAGGAUUAGAUACCCUAGUAGUCC
Molecule: ribosomal RNA, 274 nt
Filed under: uncultured bacterium
Lineage: Bacteria
Description: partial 16S ribosomal RNA
Rfam family: Bacterial small subunit ribosomal RNA
Source: RNAcentral